UAAGGCCCCUUCGGGGGUACACGAGCGGCGAACGGGUGAGUAACACGUGGGUGACCUGCCCUCAGCUCUGGGAUAAGCCCGGGAAACUGGGUCUAAUACCGGAUAUGACCUGCUGUUGCAUGACAGUGGGUGGAAAGUUUUUUCGGCUGAGGAUGGGCCCGCGGCCUAUCAGCUUGUUGGUGGGGUGAUGGCCUACCAAGGCGACGACGGGUAGCCGGCCUGAGAGGGCGACCGGCCACACUGGGACUGAGAUACGGCCCAGACUCCUACGGGAGGCAGCAGUGGGGAAUAUUGCGCAAUGGGCGAAAGCCUGACGCAGCGACGCCGCGUGGGGGAUGACGGCCUUCGGGUUGUAAACCUCUUUCGACCGGGACGAAGGGAAACUGACGGUACCGGUAGAAGAAGCACCGGCCAACUACGUGCCAGCAGCCGCGGUAAUACGUAGGGUGCGAGCGUUGUCCGGAAUUAUUGGGCGUAAAGAGCUCGUAGGCGGUGUGUCACGUCGGUCGUGAAAACUUGGGGCUCAACCCUGAGCGUGCGGUCGAUACGGGCAUCACUUGAGUUCGGCAGGGGAGACUGGAAUUCCUGGUGUAGCGGUGAAAUGCGCAGAUAUCAGGAGGAACACCGGUGGCGAAGGCGGGUCUCUGGGCCGAUACUGACGCUGAGGAGCGAAAGCGUGGGGAGCGAACAGGAUUAGAUA
This 700-nucleotide ribosomal RNA is filed under the name Pseudonocardia sp. KLBMP 2147. Its description in RNAcentral is "bacterial SSU rRNA". It matches the Rfam family "Bacterial small subunit ribosomal RNA", at positions 70 to 784 of the family's 1533-position model. Lineage: Bacteria; Bacillati; Actinomycetota; Actinomycetes; Pseudonocardiales; Pseudonocardiaceae. The record is from RNAcentral.